Long non-coding RNA from Numida meleagris (helmeted guineafowl), 3113 nucleotides. RefSeq lists it as uncharacterized. The transcript is spliced from 3 exons. Lineage: Eukaryota; Metazoa; Chordata; Aves; Galliformes; Numididae. The record is from RefSeq and is a predicted model, not a curated record.
CCCCAACAUCUUAUCUAAAUCUCCCCUCCUUUAGUUUGAAAGCAUUCUCCUUUGUGCUAUCAUUCUGUUUGAAUAACAAAGAAAUUAAGAAAGCCUCCCCCUGCCAACCCCAAUAAAUAAAGGAUGCAGCCCGUUCUUGCCAUACAUCCAACUGCACAUCGGAUACUACAGACACAAUGGGGAGCUUUCACAAAACUCAGCUCUGGCCGAGGUACAUAGAAGGAAAUUUAUCAUUUUCACCUCUGAGUAAUACCUCUGAGCACAGUAAGAUCAUCGGCUGGCAAGCUGAGGAAUUCACUUCUGGUUUUCCUCAUCACAGUAAGUAAAUGAAAGAAAGCAAGAGGGGGAAAAAAAAAAAGCAAGAGAAUAAGAAAGAAAAAGAAAAGGAAAGCAAAAAAAGAAAAAAAACCACAUUCAGUCCCUUAAACUUCUAAAAGAGAAGUUGUUAAUAAGUUAAACAUAUCAGAUUGGAAGUUUGAUGCAUUGGAAGGAAAGUAAAAACUCAGUGACUAUAGACUUGCAGUGAUGACCCCUGUCUCUGGCAUACCACAGUUCUCUUCUCCUGUCCCUCCUUUUGCCAUUCUGAAGCCACCAUGGGAAGCUGAGAGUAUUCCAGAGCUGCACAGGUACAAUGCCAAGUAGCUUACACAUAGAUAAGCACCUUGGCACUCAGCCAUCCUCCCACCAAUCAGACAAGCAUUACCACUUGGGCCUGGGUAUUGCUGUUUGAGUUGUCAGCACUGUCAGAUAUCUGAAUAAAAUGGUGUUAUCAUACUACACCUUACUGAGUGAAAUCAGGAGGUUUCAUUGCAUUGUUCCAAGUGCAAAGUGUAUCAGCAGCAUCAAGUGAAAAAAAGAGGGGCUGUCAGUGUUUGUUUUCCCAUCUCUGUCUCUUGGGACAUGUGGCCAUUGCAAGAUUGGUGUUUUUCAUGAAGACUCGGUGGAAGGAACUGGGUGGAUGUGUCUGAGCCAUGAAAAUGGGUGGUUCUCAUAAUAAUUCCCAAAUCAGAUUAUGCUGUGCUGAGUAAUUACAACGAGUAAAGCUGAAAUGAAUAUUCACCAGUGGAACAGAUUUGUGGAUCCACGUGUAAACAGGACAGCAAACACCAAGGCAGACCUAAUGUGUCCUCCUGACUAUGAAAUGAGGAAAGGUGAAACAAAAAGCAGCUUUAGAUAAGAUUUAAAAUAAUGUUUGCUUGCCAAAAGGCUACUAGCAAAAAAAAAAAAAAAAGAGAAAAAAAAAAGAGAUAUAGUCUAACUUCCUUCUAAAGAAAACUAACAAUUAUAUACCCUGAAUUAUUAUAAUCUUGAGAAGUUAUGGCAUUUUUCCAUGAAAAAUCACCCUCUCAACUGCAUUAUGAGGAUCAGUCACUGUGACAUAACCUCUAUACUAUUGUCAUACACUGCUGCUGCUGUUGAACAGUGUUUCCCCAUCCUGUUGCAGCCAGUUGCUAUCUACAGGUGUUAUCUAUUCCACGGCAAACCCUGAUGUAAUGAAUACCGAUCUGCCCCCUGGGAAGGUGCUGGUGCUGAGGUCAGCCUGUUGGCCUCUGGAGCACUAACAACUGCUUUGUCACUGACAGGGUCUCAGUGGUCAAUUCCUGAGGUCUCCAACUCCCAGCGAGGUAUGAAACCACACUGUGAUCUACCUGAAUGGGGACGGGAUGAAAGGGGUAGGUGGGGGAAAAGAAGGGCACAACACAGUAAAAUAAGUUCCUUCCUCCAUUCAGUCAGGGAUUUUAAUAAGAAGUAUGAGAAAGCUUUGAAACCUUUAUGUCAGUCAAGUUCAGUUGACAUCUACCAGAGGAUUCAAGUCUGUCCAGACCUCCUAUUCCUGCAGAGAUGACUGCAAGUCUCACUACCCUGGGAAGUUAGGCUAAGAUGUUUGGAAAUGAAAUUUCCUUCUUCAUCCAGGCAGUAUGCUAGUACCAGUUAGCCCUAUUGCUCAGUAUUUUAUGGUUAAAGUGGUAACAUGUUACAAAGCAAUGGCACCAAAAGCACUUGUGAAGCAGCUCAAGGACCAUCAUACUGACUUAAUCCCAGUACUUAACAUGGGUACCUGUAAAGGACAGAAAAUCUGAAUGCCCACAAAGGAAGAACGUGAGUUCUCAUCCAAGGCAAAGUGCAGCAGGAGGGGAAAAAAAAAUAUGAAAUGACCCAGCAACUCAGCUGGCAAGUGGCACAUGUUUGGGUGCAUGGUAUUCUGGCCUGUUCUGUCUCCAGGUUACCCAUGCCCUCAUCACCCAGGUAGGAACAGUUAGAAUCACAGAACCAUUGAGUUGGAAGGAACACUUAAAGGCCAUAGAGCCAGCCUCCCCUGCAAUGAACAGGGCCACCUACAGCUAGAUCAGCUGCUCAGAGCCCAGUUCGGCCUGACCUUGGAUGUCUCCAGCGAUCGCACAUCCACCACCUCUCUGGGCAAUCUGUUCUGGAAACGCUUACCUGGCAACACACCCAGACCACCAACACAGCUAUCAUGAGUUCAGUACCCACCAGAGAGCUGUGCUCGGCCCCGAGCUCCCAUGCAGCUGCCGAGCAGGAAGGGAACACAACUGCCUCUGCAAACAUCUGAAAUAGCGCAGCCCCUCUUUAGAUACCGAAAUGAAACACAUGAGAAACACAGGAGACAAGCACACCGAGACAAAUGCAGGCACUCUCCAGCUCCCUAAAGUCACUGCAAACUUCACGAUGAUAACAGGUAAGGUGCAAAAACACUGCAAAAGCACCAACUAUAUCUUGAACUCGAGAGAAAGAAGAGGCGGAGAUAAGGUUACACGGUCGUUGAUGACUGAUGCUCUUUCAACGCAAAGUAACCAGUUCUCCUCUGAAAUAACUGAGAAAAGUUAACAGGAAGUACCCACGAGGUUACUCCCAGCACAACGCGAAACCGAGAGAACCUCCUUAACCAGGAAGUUGGCAGAAGAACCGCAGAACACCGAGCACGCCCGGGAGCAACCCCAUCCCCAGCACGGGGCACCCCGCGCCGCCCCACUCCCCGCUAGCACCUGCUCGGGGCAGCGGGGCCCGCUGGAGGCGAGCGGGGCUCGGCGCGGGGCUCAGCGGGGCAGCGCCGCCGGCGGCCGGGGCGGCUCCCGGGAGCGGGACGCGGGCCG